RNAcentral lists this ribosomal RNA (465 nucleotides) under uncultured bacterium. Its description in RNAcentral is "partial 16S ribosomal RNA". It matches the Rfam family "Bacterial small subunit ribosomal RNA", at positions 28 to 507 of the family's 1533-position model. The record is from RNAcentral.
GACGAACGCUGGCGGCGUGCUUAACACAUGCAAGUCGUACGGUAAGGCCCUUUCGGGGGUACCCGAGUGGCGAACGGGUGAGUAACACGUGAGUAACCUGCCCACAACUUUGGGAUAACGCUAGGAAACUGGUGCUAAUACUGGAUAUGUGCUCCUGCUGCAUGGUGGGGGUUGGAAAGCUCCGGCGGUUGUGGAUGGACUCGCGGCCUAUCAGCUUGUUGGUGGGGUAGUGGCCUACCAAGGCGGCGACGGGUAGCCGGCCUGAGAGGGUGACCGGCCACAGUGGGACUGAGAUACGGCCCAGACGCCUACGGGAGGCAGCAGUGGGGAAUAUUGCACAAUGGGCGCAAGCCUGAUGCAGCAACGCCGCGUGCGGGAUGACGGCCUUCGGGUUGUAAACCGCUUUCAGCAGGGACGAAGCUUUUUGUGACGGUACCUGCAGAAGAAGCGCCGGCUAACUACGUG